RNAcentral lists this ribosomal RNA (474 nucleotides) under uncultured bacterium. RNAcentral's name for it is "bacterial SSU rRNA". It matches the Rfam family "Bacterial small subunit ribosomal RNA", at positions 8 to 474 of the family's 1533-position model. The record is from RNAcentral.
AGAGUUUGAUCAUGGCUCAGAUUGAACGCUGGCGGCAUGCUUAAUACAUGCAAGUCGAACGGUAACAGAUUCUUCGGAAUGCUGACGAGUGGCGGACGGGUGAGUAAUACAUAGGAAUCUGCCCAUGUAGUGGGGGACAACUUGGGGAAACUCAAGCUAAUACCGCAUAAUUCCUACGGGAUAAAGAGGGCCACUGCUUGCAAGCUCUUGCUACUGGAUGAGCCUAUGUCGGAUUAGUUAGUUGGUAAGGUAAUGGCUUACCAAGACAGCGAUCCGUAGCUGGUUUGAGAGGAUGAUCAGCCACACUGGGACUGAGACACGGCCCAGACUCCUACGGGAGGCAGCAGUAGGGAGUAUUGUACAAUGGGCGCAAGCCUGAUCCAGCAAUGCCGCGUGUGUGAAGAAGGCCUGCGGGUUGUAAAGCACUUUCAAUUGGGAAGAAAGAUUAUGAGUUAAUACCUUAUAAUAUUGACG